Long non-coding RNA from Oxyura jamaicensis (ruddy duck), 2809 nucleotides. RefSeq lists it as uncharacterized. NCBI's taxonomy places the organism in Eukaryota, Metazoa, Chordata, Aves, Anseriformes, Anatidae. The record is from RefSeq and is a predicted model, not a curated record. The transcript is spliced from 2 exons.
GGAGGAGGAGGAGGAGGAAGGACGAGGAGAAGAGGAAGGAGCGGGCACAGCGCUUUUAUCACCGGGGCUUAGUGCCGCCGGUGCCGGGAUGGAGGCAGGCAGAGCGCGGCUGGAGCCCGGCACCGGGCUCCUGUCAGGUUUAAGUCAAAUCCCAUUCAAUGAGUAACUCCAGAAUCUUUUUUUUUUUUGACCUUUUCUCUUUGAAAGAAGAACGUUUCCUUGAAUAAUUUCACCGUGCGAAUUGCCGAGUGGAUGGUGUUACUCCGCGUGGUGUGGGGUGGGCGGUUUAUGCGGUGCAGAAGCGGUUCCCUCUGCACGGGCACGCAGGGAGGGAGCAGAGGGUGUCAGAGCCGGUACCGCGCCCGGCACAGCCUUCCACAGCUGGAGGUGAAAUAGCCAUAAACUGUAGCAGGUAUUCUGGGCUCUCUGAGGGGCCAGCUGCUGAGGAGACCUCCUGUAUACAGUCAGUACACUUUGUCAGCCGGAUUUAUCAUUCUCCCCACUUCUCCCCACAUGACAGUAACUAGCAGAGACGGAGGCCGAAGGCCUUUCGAAGCUUGAAGAUCCUUGGCCCAGCUGCCGUAUGCCCAGCUGCACAGAAGAAAUGCUUGUGAAGACAAAGGUGAAAAAGAGGUGGCUAGGUGAGCACCUUCCUAGUCUUCUUGGUGUUUUUAAGUUGCGUUUAUGUCAGCUUCACCUCUUCUGAUCAAUUGAUUGCCCAUCUGGAAGAUGCUAAAGCAAUUCCCCUGUGAUGUUUGACUUUGUAUUAAAGGGAAGAACUGAUGAAGCACAGGAGGAAAGGAGCUAGAAGAGUGCAGGAUGAAACCUGUGAACACAAAUCUUAUAUGAAGCUAUGCUGAGGUCUCUUCCUAUCUUCCCAAAAGAUUGGGCAGGAACAGAUGGCAACUCCUGCUCUGCUUACGGGCCCUUUUCACCAUACUUAAAAGAGCCUGUAGCUGUGUACGAAAACAUAAGGAAGACAGAACAUAGUGGAAAAUCCUGAACUUUCAGCAUAAAAAGAAUAUAAAAAGUACAUGCAUACGGGACUCCUCAGUGUGCAGAUCUCACAGAAGUGGCUUGGGUCUUUGCUAUAAAGGAACAGCUAAACAGUAGGAACCAGUUCUUUCAAAUAUUUUUCAGCAGUCAUAGGUACUUCAGCUUUCAUUCCUUUCUUGUGUCAUGCAGCGUGGUUUUCUUAUGAUCUGUAAGGUGAAGAGACAGCUCAUUACAUCGAAGAACAAGCAGGCUUAAAGGGGAAUGUAGAUCCCAACAGAAACAAGAUCUCCAGCCAUCUCUCUUCGAUCUCAUAAUCAAUGGCAAGUGGAACAGCAUGGUACAAGUGCAAACCACUGCAGCAACCACAAAAGCAUGGCUGGGGGGGAUCAAAAUUGUGCAUGUAUGAUUAGAGUCACCACGCUGAAGGGGUAUGUCAAUAGGUCAGCAGCAGAACGGACGAAAAAAAAAAGGAAAGGCUUGAUUCCCUCAACGCCCUUUUUGGUUGGGCCUAUAGAAAACACCAGUCCAUUUACUACAAAGCUGCUUGUGGUAAUCAAAAAAGAGGAACUCUCGUGGUUGAAAAUGGUUUUUGAACUGUGAAGAUAAAAGUUCUCUUUUUUUAAGUAAACCGCAUCGUUUUUCUCUACAUAGAUCUGAUUUAAGUGAAUUGGGUGUAAAUCAUUGCUGAACCGAUGACAAAUAGCAUGUUAACUAUUUUACUCACAACUUCACUCACUUUUACUCUCUGUGCUCCAAACCUUUAAAAGUUUAGGAAUCGCAGCCUUCUGUGGAGGUAACUGAAUCAUCUGUUAAGUUACAGCUCAGUUCAGGUUCAGUUGCUGUAGUUCCUUUCUCACAGAGAUUUUGUAUGGUCUGUUUUAGGCAGAUAACAGUCUGGAAUAAAGAGGAUCUGGAAUCUGUGGUGGUUGUUCUUUUUUAUAUAUAUAUAUAUUGUAUUUAUAUCCUAUAAUUUGCAGACACAGAAGGACAUGAAGUAGCCACAGAUGUUGCAAAGUAGACAAUUAAUUCAUAAAGCCUUUGGUGACUCCUUAUGAAUAUGGAACUGUAGUGUCAGUAGGAAGAAUCCUCUCCCUUUGUGGGCUGGCUGGCAGAAGAGCGUCCUCCCUGCUAGAGUGAGCAGACUGAAGCCUGAGAACCAAUGCAGUAGGACAAUAAGUUCUUUCAUUUCUUGCACGAAUGCUGUCUUGGGUGCCAGCUUUUUCUUUCCCUGUAGUGCCAGUUACUCGUCUUUGUUUGCUGUAUCUUCUCUAGCCCUUGUUUUCAACCUCAGACUGUUUACUUGAGGAAUGCAAUUUGCACCCUUCUGUUUUGCUCAGCAGAGGCUAACAUUGAUUUUGCUUUGGAUGUAGAAUUGUAUUUUGAAUGUAUUGACAUAAGAUAAUGUGUUUUUUUUUUGUUUUGUUUUGAACUUUGAAAUCUGUUACAGGACUCUCUUCACAGGCUCCUCUACAAUUCCUUAAAGGCCUGAAGCGUUGGUCUGUACUACUCUCCUUUCCAGGACUCUGUGGAAGAGAGACCAAACAGGAAUGUGAGGCGUCUUCUCUCUCCUCUUAAUACUUCUUUAUUAUGCAAGUAUGUUGAUCAUUGUCUGCAGUAAGAGUGGAACAAUUCUGUAGCUGCUCUGCAAGUUAGAAGAAAACGUUUUCUUUCCCCAGUCCAGCUAUCAUCAUAGCUCAUCUUCAAAAUUGUAUACCACAGGGUUGAUUGAAACACUCUUUUUAUUUUUCUUGCCUAGCUUAUUCCUUAGUGUGAUUCCUGAGUUUUACACCCAGCAAUAAACAUGAGCGGAGUA